GAGUUUGAUCAUGGCUCAGGACGAACGUGGCGGCGUGCCUAACACAUGCAAGCCAGAGGAAAGUGGCAACACGAGUCUCGGCGCAAGGGUGCGUAAUGCAUAGGUUAUCUGCCCCUCGGUCUGGGUAACCCAUCGAAAGAUGGGAUAAUACCAGAUGAUGAGGCAACUCCAAAGAAACGCCGAGGGAUGAGCCUAUGUCCCAUCAGGUAGUUGGUAGGGUAACGCCUACCAAGCCGACGACGGGUAGCUGGUCUGAGAGGAUGAUCAGCCACCUGGAACUGAGACACGGUCCAGACAUCUACGGAUGGCAGCAGUGAGGAAAUUGCUCAAUGGGUGAAAGCCUGAAGCAGCAACGCCGCGUGGGCGAUGAGGUCUUCGGAUUGUAAAGCCCUUUUGCAGGGGACGAACAACUCGCUCAGGAGCCUGACGGUACCCUGCGAAUAAGCCACGGCUAACUCUGUGCCAGCACCGCGGUGAUACAGAGGUGGCGAGCGUUGUCCGGAUUUACUGGGUGUAAGGGUGUGUAGGCGGAUUUGUAAGUCGAGGGUUAAAGACCUUCGCUCAACAAGGGAAUGCUCUCGAUACUGCAAGUCUAGAGUGCCGAAGGGGAGACUGAAUUCCCGGUGUAGCGGUGGAAUGUGUAGAGAUCGGGAAGAACACCAGUGCGAAGGCAGGUCUCUGGUCGGUAACUGACGCUGAGGCACGAAAGCGUGGGAGCAAACAGGAUUAGAUACCCUGGUAGUCCACGCCCUAAACGAUGGAGCUAGAUGUUGGCCUUCGGGUCAGUGUCGCAGCUAACGCAGUAAGCAUCCACCUGGGGAGUACGACCGCAAGGUUGAAACUCAAAUGAAUUGACGGGG
RNAcentral lists this ribosomal RNA (860 nucleotides) under uncultured Chlorobiota bacterium. RNAcentral describes it as "bacterial SSU rRNA". It matches the Rfam family "Bacterial small subunit ribosomal RNA", at positions 9 to 918 of the family's 1533-position model. The record is from RNAcentral. Lineage: Bacteria; Pseudomonadati; Chlorobiota.